GAUAUGUUGGUCCAGUGGUUAAAUUGUCUGGUCUUUAUAGUGAAGACGCAGGUUCGAUUCCUGUUUGUGUCA
RNAcentral lists this transfer RNA (72 nucleotides) under Helianthus annuus (common sunflower). Its description in RNAcentral is "tRNA HanXRQr2_Chr17g0780881". The record is from RNAcentral. Lineage: Eukaryota; Viridiplantae; Streptophyta; Magnoliopsida; Asterales; Asteraceae.